This 492-nucleotide ribosomal RNA is filed under the name uncultured bacterium. RNAcentral describes it as "partial 16S ribosomal RNA". It matches the Rfam family "Bacterial small subunit ribosomal RNA", at positions 29 to 507 of the family's 1533-position model. The record is from RNAcentral.
AGUGAACGCUGGCGGUAGGCCUAACACAUGCAAGUCGAACGGCAGCACAGUAAGAGCUUGCUCUUACGGGUGGCGAGUGGCGGACGGGUGAGGAAUACAUCGGAAUCUACUUUUUCGUGGGGGAUAACGUAGGGAAACUUACGCUAAUACCGCAUACGACCUACGGGUGAAAGCAGGGGAUCUUCGGACCUUGCGCGAUUGAAUGAGCCGAUGUCGGAUUAGCUAGUUGGCGGGGUAAAGGCCCACCAAGGCGACGAUCCGUAGCUGGUCUGAGAGGAUGAGCAGCCACACUGGAAGAGAGAAGCGGUACAGACUCAUACGGGAGGCAGCAGUGGGGAAUAGUGGACGAUGGGCGCAAGCCUGAUCCAGCCAUACCGCGUGAGUGAAAAAGGCCUUCGGGUUGUAAAGCCCUUUUGUUGGGAAAGAAAAACAGCAGGUUGAUACCCCGCUGGUCUGACGGUACCCAAAGAAUAAGCACCGGCUAGCUUCGUG